RNAcentral lists this ribosomal RNA (1310 nucleotides) under uncultured marine archaeon. RNAcentral describes it as "partial 16S ribosomal RNA". It matches the Rfam family "Archaeal small subunit ribosomal RNA", at positions 21 to 1338 of the family's 1478-position model. The record is from RNAcentral.
CCUGACUGCUAUCGGAUUGAUACUAAGCCAUGCGAGUCAUUGUAGCAAUACAAGGCAUACGGCUCAGUAACGCGUAGUCAACCUAACCUAUGGACGGGAAUAACCUCGGGAAACUGAGAAUAAUGCCCGAUAGAACAUUAUACCUGGAAUGGUUUAUGUUCCAAAUGAUUUAUCGCCAUAGGAUGGGACUGCGGCCUAUCAGUUUGUUGGUGAGGUAAUGGCCCACCAAGACUAUUACAGGUACGGGCUCUGAGAGGAGUAGCCCGGAGAUGGGUACUGAGACACGGACCCAGGCCCUAUGGGGCGCAGCAGGCGAGAAAACUUUGCAAUGUGCGAAAGCACGACAAGGUUAAUCCGAGUGAUUUGUGCUAAACGAAUCUUUUGUUAGUCCUAGAAACACUAACGAAUAAGGGGUGGGCAAGUUCUGGUGUCAGCCGCCGCGGUAAAACCAGCACCUCAAGUGGUCAGGAUGAUUAUUGGGCCUAAAGCAUCCGUAGCCGGCUCUGUAAGUUUUCGGUUAAAUCUGUACGCUUAACGUACAGGCUGCCGGGAAUACUGCAAAGCUAGGGAGUGGGAGAGGUAGACGGUACUCGGUAGGAAGUGGUAAAAUGCUUUGAUCUAUCGAUGACCACCUGUGGCGAAGGCGGUCUACCAGAACACGUCCGACGGUGAGGGAUGAAAGCUGGGGGAGCAAACCGGAUUAGAUACCCGGGUAGUCCUAGGUGUAAACGCUGUGGACUUGAUGUUGGGGGUGCUCCGAGCACUCUCAGUGUCGAAGCGAAGGUGAUAAGUCCACUGCCUGGGAAGUACGGUCGCAAGGCUGAAACUUAAAGGAAUUGGCGGGGGAGCACCGCAACCUGAGGAUUGUGCGGUUUAAUUGGAUUCAACGCCGGAAAACUCACCAUAGCCGACGGACAAAUGAAGGUCAGUGUAAUGAACUUACCGGAUUGUUCGAGAGGUAGUGCAUGGCCGCCGUCAGUUCGUACCGCAAGGCGUUCUGUUAAGUCAGAUAACGAACGAGACCCUCAUCUCUAUUUGCUAACUGGAUCUCCGGAUUCAGUGCACUAUAGGGAGACCGCUGGCGCUAAGUCAGAGGAAGGGGAGGGCAACGGUAGGUCAGUAUGCUCCGAAUGCUAUGGGCUACACGCGCAAUACAAAGGACAGGACAAUGGGCUGCUGCUCCGAAAGGAAUGAUAGCUAUCCCGAAACCUGUUCGUAGUUCGGAUUGAGGGCUGUAACUCGCCCUCAUGAAGCUGGAUUAGGUAGUAAUCGCGUCUCAAAAAGGCGCGGUGAAUAUGCCCCUGCUCCUU